UAGGGAAUCUUCCACAAUGGACGAAAGUCUGAUGGAGCAACGCCGCGUGAGUGAAGAAGGUUUUCGGAUCGUAAAACUCUGUUGUAAGGGAAGAACAAGUGCAGUAGUAACUGGCUGCACCUUGACGGUACCUUAUUAGAAAGCCACGGCUAACUACGUGCCAGCAGCCGCGGUAAUACGUAGGUGGCAAGCGUUGUCCGGAUUUAUUGGGCGUAAAGCGCGCGCAGGCGGUCCUUUAAGUCUGAUGUGAAAGCCCACGGCUCAACCGUGGAGGGUCAUUGGAAACUGGAGGACUUGAGUGCAGAAGAGGAAAGUGGAAUUCCAAGUGUAGCGGUGAAAUGCGUAGAGAUUUGGAGGAACACCAGUGGCGAAGGCGACUUUCUGGUCUGUAACUGACGCUGAGGCGCGAAAGCGUGGGGAGCAAACAGGAUUAGAUACCCUGGUAGUCCACGCCGUAAACGAUGAGUGCUAAGUGUUAGGGGGUUCGCCCUUAGUGCUGCA
Molecule: ribosomal RNA, 501 nt
Filed under: uncultured Bacillota bacterium
Lineage: Bacteria; Bacillati; Bacillota
Description: bacterial SSU rRNA
Rfam family: Bacterial small subunit ribosomal RNA
Source: RNAcentral